This 1107-nucleotide ribosomal RNA is filed under the name Vibrio sp. Its description in RNAcentral is "bacterial SSU rRNA". It matches the Rfam family "Bacterial small subunit ribosomal RNA", at positions 40 to 1122 of the family's 1533-position model. The record is from RNAcentral. Lineage: Bacteria; Pseudomonadati; Pseudomonadota; Gammaproteobacteria; Vibrionales; Vibrionaceae.
CGGGCGGCCCUACACAUGCAGUCGAGCGGAACGAGUUAUCUGAACCUUCGGGGAACGAUAACGGCGUCGAGCGGCGGACGGGUGAGUAAUGCCUAGGAAAUUGCCCUGAUGUGGGGGAUAACCAUUGGAAACGAUGGCUAAUACCGCAUAAUACCUACGGGUCAAAGAGGGGGACCUUCGGGCCUCUCGCGUCAGGAUAUGCCUAGGUGGGAUUAGCUAGUUGGUGAGGUAAUGGCUCACCAAGGCGACGAUCCCUAGCUGGUCUGAGAGGAUGAUCAGCCACACUGGAACUGAGACACGGUCCAGACUCCUACGGGAGGCAGCAGUGGGGAAUAUUGCACAAUGGGCGCAAGCCUGAUGCAGCCAUGCCGCGUGUGUGAAGAAGGCCUUCGGGUUGUAAAGCACUUUCAGUCGUGAGGAAGGUAGUGUAGUUAAUAGCUGCAUUAUUUGACGUUAGCGACAGAAGAAGCACCGGCUAACUCCGUGCCAGCAGCCGCGGUAAUACGGAGGGUGCGAGCGUUAAUCGGAAUUACUGGGCGUAAAGCGCAUGCAGGUGGUUUGUUAAGUCAGAUGUGAAAGCCCGGGGCUCAACCUCGGAAUAGCAUUUGAAACUGGCAGACUAGAGUACUGUAGAGGGGGGUAGAAUUUCAGGUGUAGCGGUGAAAUGCGUAGAGAUCUGAAGGAAUACCGGUGGCGAAGGCGGCCCCCUGGACAGAUACUGACACUCAGAUGCGAAAGCGUGGGGAGCAAACAGGAUUAGAUACCCUGGUAGUCCACGCCGUAAACGAUGUCUACUUGGAGGUUGUGGCCUUGAGCCGUGGCUUUCGGAGCUAACGCGUUAAGUAGACCGCCUGGGGGAGUACGGUCGCAAGAUUAAAACUCAAAUGAAUUGACGGGGGCCCGCACAAGCGGUGGAGCAUGUGGUUUAUUUCGAUGCAACGCGAAGAAACCCUUACCUACUCUGACAUCCAAGAAGAAACAAUUCCCAGAGAUGGGUAUGGUGCCUUCGGAAACUCUCUGAGAACAGUGCUUGCAUGCUGGUCCGUCAGCUCGUGUUGUGCAAUGUGUUAGUCCCGCACGAGGCCAUCUAUCUGUUGGCAGACAAUC